AUUGAACGCUGGCGGCAGGCCUAACACAUGCAAGUCGAGCGGAUGAAGGGAGCUUGCUCCUGGAUUCAGCGGCGGACGGGUGAGUAAUGCCUAGGAAUCUGCCUGGUAGUGGGGGAUAACGUCCGGAAACGGGCGCUAAUACCGCAUACGUCCUGAGGGAGAAAGUGGGGGAUCUUCGGACCUCACGCUAUCAGAUGAGCCUAGGUCGGAUUAGCUAGUUGGUGGGGUAAAGGCCUACCAAGGCGACGAUCCGUAACUGGUCUGAGAGGAUGAUCAGUCACACUGGAACUGAGACACGGUCCAGACUCCUACGGGAGGCAGCAGUGGGGAAUAUUGGACAAUGGGCGAAAGCCUGAUCCAGCCAUGCCGCGUGUGUGAAGAAGGUCUUCGGAUUGUAAAGCACUUUAAGUUGGGAGGAAGGGAAGUAAGUUAAUACCUUGCUGUUUUGACGUGACCAACAGAAUAAGCACCGGCUAACUUCGU
Molecule: ribosomal RNA, 483 nt
Filed under: uncultured bacterium
Lineage: Bacteria
Description: partial 16S ribosomal RNA
Rfam family: Bacterial small subunit ribosomal RNA
Source: RNAcentral